GCCGGUAGCGGUGGGAUGGCGAGCUGAGGCCUUUGGGAGCCCGAAGCUGGUGGAGAGGCUGAAGGGUUCCUGGAGCCGAGGGAGAGGAAGGACGGUGGGGAACAGGUGCCCUGAGACCCGAACUCGCGGGGCGGCUUUUGGUGACAAUCCAGGGGCUUCCUGCCACAGGAAGUUGGGGUGGGCCUCCUAGAUAGGCAGAAGGAAUGAGAAAACGGUGACGGGCUGGCUCCGCCAUCCUUCGACUGCCGCCCCACCCACUGACUUGGAUGUAGCGGCUCGGGAGAGGAUCCGCCGCCCGCCCGGGUGAGUCUUUCCCGUUUCCUUGGCGGAAACAAGGAAAGCAAGGCAAGAAGAGCCAGACGCCGGCUGGAGCCAACGGCAGGAGCACCGAAGCUCGCCCACGAGGCUCUGCAUCAAGCAAUGGGAAAUCCAGAAAACAUCGAAGAUGCUUACGUUGCAGUUAUUCGUCCAAAGAACACUGCUAGUCUCAACUCCCGGGAGUAUAGAGCUAAGUCCUAUGAAAUUUUAUUGCAUGAAGUUCCCAUUGAAGGACAGAAAAAAAAGCGAAAGAAAGUUUUGCUGGAAACUAAACUUCAAAGCAACAGUGAAAUAGCACAAGGCAUAUUGGACUAUGUAGUAGAAACUACCAAACCAAUUUCUCCUGCAAACCAGGGGAUUAAAGGGAAACGAGUGGUGCUGAUGAGGAAGUUUCCUCUGGACGGAGAGAAGACAGGCAGAGAAGCAGCACUGUUUAUCGUGCCAUCAGUUGUCAAAGAUAAUACUAAAUAUGCAUAUACUCCUGGAUGCCCAAUUUUUUACUGCUUACAAGAUAUUAUGAGAGUUUGUAGUGAAUCCAGUACUCACUUUGCAACACUUACAGCAAGGAUGUUAAUAGCCUUGGAUAAGUGGUUAGAUGAACGUCAUGCGCAGUCUCACUUUAUUCCAGCUUUAUUCCGACCUUCUCCCCUUGAACGGAUAAAGACAAAUGUCAUAAACCCUGCGUAUGCUGCUGAAUUAGGCCAGGUAGACAAUUCACUACAUAUGGGCUAUAGUGCACUAGAAAUAAAGAGUAAAAUGCUAGCCCUAGAGAAAGCAGACACCUGCAUUUACAACCCUUUGUUUGGAUCAGAUCUUCAGUAUACAAAUCGGGUAGAUAAAGUGGUAAUAAAUCCAUACUUUGGUCUCGGAGCUCCAGACUACUCAAAAAUCCAAAUUCCCAAACAGGAAAAAUGGCAGCGAAGCAUGAGCAGCGUUGUGGAAGACAAAGAACGACAGUGGGUUGAUGACUUUCCUUUACAUCGAAAUGCCUGUGAAGGAGAUUCAGAAUUACUGAGCCAUCUUCUCGAUAAAGGACUUUCAGUCAACCAACUAGAUAAUGACCACUGGGCACCCAUUCAUUAUGCAUGCUGAAAGCAUCUGUACCAUUGCUUGUCUUCUGAGUAUUCUGUUCUGAUCUUUUGAUUACUGUGUAUAUGCUGCUGUUCGGAACUGCCAGAUCUGCCCUGAGGAGAGCACUCGCAGUCUUCUUUACAAGCCGUACAGAGAGAUAGCCAAUAGGUAUGGAAAAGUUGAGGCCACUCGCAUAUUAUUAGAGAAAGGAAAGUGCAAUCCAAACCUUUUAAAUGGGCAGCUCAGCUCACCGCUUCACUUUGCUGCUGGAGGCGGCCAUGCUGAAAUAGUGCAGAUCCUCCUGACUCACCCAGACAUUGACAGGCACAUAACAGAUCAACAAGGAAGAUCCCCAUUAAAUGUUUGUGAAGAAAACAAACAAAAUAACUGGGAAGAAGCUGCAAAAUUGUUGAAAGACGCCAUUAACAAGCCAUAUGAAAAAGUUCGAAUCUAUAGAAUGGAUGGAUCAUACCGUUCUGUUGAACUAAAGCAUGGCAAUAAUACCACAGCACAGCAGAUAAUGGAGGGAAUGCGGCUCUCUCAGGAAACUCAGCGAUAUUUCACUAUUUGGAUCUGUUCAGAAAAUCUUAGUCUUCAGUUCAAGCCUUAUCAUAAACCCUUGCAACAAGUUCAUGACUGGCCAGAAAUACUUGCUGAAUUGACUAAUUUGGAUCCACAAAGAGAAACACCACAGCUUUUCCUAAGAAGAGAUGUGGGACUUCCUUUAGAAGUUGAGAAAAAGAUUGAAGACCCACUAGCUAUUCUUAUUCUCUUUGAUGAAGCCAGAUAUAAUUUACUGAAGGGCUUUUAUACAGCUCCUGAUGCUAAACUGAUAACACUGGCAAGUCUACUGUUACAAAUAGUUUAUGGGAAUUAUGAGAGUAAAAAGCACAAACAAGGUUUCUUAAAUGAAGAAACUCUGAAAUCCAUCGUACCUAUUACUAAACUGAAAAGUAAGGCGCCUCACUGGAUAAACCGAAUACUCCAUGAGUACAAGAAUCUGAGUCUGAGUGAGGGCGUCAGUAAGGAAAUGCACCACCUGCAGCGCAUGUUCCUACAGAACUGCUGGGAGAUCCCUACGUACGGAGCCGCCUUCUUCACAGGACAGAUAUUUACAAAGGCAAGCCCAAGCAAUCAUAAAGUCAUCCCUGUGUAUGUAGGAGUGAAUAUAAAAGGACUUCAUCUCCUGAACAUGGAAACUAAGGCAUUACUCAUCAGUCUCAAGUACUGUUGCUUUACGUGGCAGCUGGGAGAUGCUGGUACUUGUUUUCAAAUCCAUAGUAUGGAAAAUAAAAUGAGCUUUAUAGUACACACAAAACAGGCUGGCCUUGUGGUAAAGCUGCUAAUGAAGUUAAAUGGACAACUAAUGCCCUCUGAAAGAAAUUCAUGAAAAGAAUUUGAAUUUGAGUACAAACCACCACAUUUUGUAAUGUAGAUUUUUUUCCAUGAAAGAUUUCUGAAAAUAUGACUUAACAAAGCAUGUAGUUUCAUAUAGUAUGUAUAUGCUGUUACAUAUAUUGUACAGAAUCUGUACUCAUGUUUGGUGUGUAAUAUACCACUUAGUUUUGUAUGAUAUGCUCAUAAGCUCUUCUAAUUUUUGAGAGAAACACAUAAAAAUAGAUCAGCAGUCUGGAUUAUAUUAGACAAAAUAGUAUGCUUUAUAAAAAGUUAUUUUUGGUAAAUAGUAAAGAAUUUAGUGUGGAAUGUGAUGAAAUUAAAAUAUAGCUUUGAUAUAAUUUUGUGUGUUACUUCAAAUAUUCUGAAAACCAACAUGAUUUGAAUAAAUAAAAUGUAUUUUGUACUUGAAUCUAUUAUUUAAACCAUUUCUUCUGUAAUCUAUAAGCCUAUCUUAAGGUGUUUUUAAACCUCUUAAUUAAAGGUGUCUCUACCACAAGAUGGGUUUCCUUGCAUCGGUCCUAGUGUCUUUACACACUGAUGAGUCCAGACGCUCACUCCCUGCACAGUUUUCCAUCCUCUGGGUGUACCAAGGAUGGUUUGGGAAUAAUUUCUUAAUUUUAAAUCUCAGAUCUAAUUAAAUUAGACCACUGGCUGUCAUAUCAAAGCACACACACAAGCAGAUAAUUUUUAUGUCAUUUUCUACUCUUGACAUUAACUUUUUAUUCUAAAUGAUACUAUAUGUAAGCCUUAUUAAUAUUAGAAUUAUGUAGUUAAGUGAGGCUAUUUUUUACUAACCCUCCCCAUGCCCCCCUUUCCUUCUAACACUCUUCCCUGCUUAAACCUUUCCAUUCCUAUUUCUACUUUUACAGCACCUGUGAUAUAACACCUGACACCCCUUCAAUAGUCCCUUUCUAGUGUCCUGGCUUGUACAGGCACUCCAAGUUAAACACAGUUCAGUCUAUGAUCCACAAAUCAGAGAGAACAUUUGGCAUUUGUAUUUUCUGGAUGUGGGUUACUUCAUGCAGUAUAAUUUUCCAGUUCCACUCAUUAACCUUCAAUUGUAAUAAUUUAACUCAUUUUACAGAUGAAUAGAAUUCCAUUGUACAUAUGUAUGUGUGUAUGGGUGGGUAGGUGGACGGAUGGGUGGAUCUAUAGCUAGAUAACAUUUUCAUUUUCCUUCUAUCUUUUGAUGAACUGGUCCCAUUUCCUGCAUAUUGUCAAGAGCAGCAAUGAACAGGAAUGGUCCCACAUCUCUAUGAGGCUUGAGAGCCCUGUGGGGUAAAUGCCCAGGAGUGGGACGGCUACCACGUGGAGAUUCUACUUUGAGCUUUGCAAAGAGCCUCCACACUGAUCUCUCCAGAGGAUGCACCAGUCGACACUCUCACCAUCAAUGAGAUGUUCCUCUUCCUCUUACCAAAGUUUUCAUUUUCAUUUGCCAAGUGACUAACUGAACCUUUUUCUUAAAUGUAAUUUGUUAUAUGUGAGGGUUUUAUAUACAGUCAGUGUGCGUUGUAACAGUAUCUAUUAAAAGUCAAUUAAGUUAAUCUAAAAUGCUAACCUAGCUACAUAGCACAUUUGACAUGAUUGCCCAGAUGGGAAGGGAAAACAUUGAUUUACAAUAACUUGUAACCCUUUUGGAUUCUGAAAAUGUUCAUAUAUCUAUCGAUGUGGAACUUGUUAACGUGUUUAGCAGCCAUACAUAUUUUUUCUUUUGAGAAAUCUCUCUCUGUUCAGAUCUAUGACUCAUUUUUAAUUGAGCUACUUGUUUUCUUGGUGUUUUGUUUUUUGAGUUGAAUACUUAAUAGCAAUCAUGUUGGACAUAGAUCUAGCAAAGACUUGCUCUCAUCUCCUAGCCUGGAGGCUACGUCUUCCCUUGAUUGAUCACUUCCUCUGCUGUACAGAAGCUCUCACUUUUUUCUUCAGUCGUUGGCCAUAUACCCUGAGCAACCAGAGCCCCACUGAGGAAAGUCCUUAUCUAUAGCUCUAUCGUGUACAGAGUCCCUACUUUUUUUCCUAGUUUCAGAUUGUCUGUGGCAUUCUUCAGUCAAUAUGAAGCUGGGUUUUUUGUGCAGGGUUAGAAAUAGUGAAGUCACUUCCGUCUAAUGCAUGUAGACAUCAGUUUUCCCAACGCCAUUCAUUGAAGAUGCCGUUUUCUUUUUUAAAAAUUAAGUGGCUGUAAUGGCGUGACUUAUGUCUGGGUCUUCUCUUUCGCUGAUUUAAAUGCAUUUUUAUGCCAGUAUCACAAUUUUUUUUGGUUUUGCUUUUGUUUAGUGUGGGUUUUCAAGACAGGGUUUCUCUAUGUCCUAGAACUCAGACUGGCCUCGAACUCAGAGAGCUUCCUUUUUCUGCUAGGAUUAAAGAUAGGUGUCACCAUCACCUAGCACCAUGCCAUUUUGUAUUAAUGUGACUGCAGUAUAUCUUGAAACCAGAUGUGGUGGUUUGAAUGAAAAUAGCCCCUUUGACUCACAAGUUUGAAUGUUUGAUUCCCAGUUGGUAAGGCUGUUUGGGAAGAAUUAGGAGAUAAAUCCUUGUUGGAGGAGGUGUAUGAGGCCCAGUCCCCUCUCUGCCUCCUGCUAAUGAAUCAGAUGGAAGGUUCUCAGCUUACAUAUCAUGUAAGCACAUGCUAGUGGCCAUGUCUGACCACCUGUUGCUGUUUCCUACCACAGUGGUCGUAGACUAACACCCUGUAACUGUUAGCAAGCCCCCAGUUAAUGCUUUCUUUCAUAAGUUGCCUUGAUCAUGGUAUCUCUUCACUGUAGUAGAACAAUAACUAAGACACUGGGUAUGGUAAUGCCUUCUGUAUUAUGUUUGCCUAGGACUGCUUUGGAUAUCUGUGAUCUUUGUACUUCUAUAUCAAUGUUAAGAUUUUUGUUUUUCAGUUUCUGUGAGUAUGGCAUGAGAAUUUUGAUUGGAAUAGCAUUGGUCCUGUCUAUUGCUUUUAUUAGGAUAGUUUCUUUCACAACUUUAAGUCUUAUCCAUUAGCAUGGGAUGUCUUUCAGUCUUUGUUUUCUUUGAACCUAUGGGUUUUGGGAUUGUUUGUUUACUGUUGUCAAUUCCCUGAUUUCUCUAAGUGUGCCAUUGGUAUGCAGUGGAUUUUUAUGUUAAUCUUGUAUACUGCUGCUUUGCUGAAAGUCUAGAUCAGCUCUAGUUUCCUGAUGAUAUGUUAGGGUUUCUUGUGUGUAGUAUUGUAUCACCAACUGACAGCGAUACUUGACUUGUUUCCCAGUCCUAUCUUUUUUAUUUCCUUCUCUUUGUCAUGUUGCUGUACCUUGAACACUAUUUUAAAUAGAAGUAGAGAAUGGCCAGCCUCAUAUUGUCCCUGAUUUUAAUAGAAUUGCCUCACGUUUUUCUCCAUUGAGCAUUUUAUUGACUAUGAGUCAUAUGUAGCUUUCAUUGGAUUGAAGUAUACUCUCUACGGGGUUUCUCAAAGGAUACAUUUUCACUGUGAACUGUAUUUACUCAUAACUGCCCAAAUUUCUUCAGUUGAUGAGUGAGCAGACAAGUAUAUCCAUAUAUGCAAUAGGAUGCUACUCAACAAUAAACAAUUGAUGAACAUUAUAUGAAU
Mus musculus (house mouse) is the source of this 6352-nucleotide RNA transcript. It is a transcript of the gene named KRIT1, ankyrin repeat containing, with no coding region annotated. Lineage: Eukaryota; Metazoa; Chordata; Mammalia; Rodentia; Muridae. The record is from RefSeq and is marked validated. The transcript is spliced from 18 exons.